GAGGAUAUAGCUCAAGUGGUAGAGUGUGUGCUUAGCAUGCACGAGGUCCUGGGUUCAAUCCCAGCACCUCCA
This 72-nucleotide transfer RNA is filed under the name Camelus bactrianus (Bactrian camel). It matches the Rfam family "tRNA". Rfam says of the family: Transfer RNA (tRNA) molecules are approximately 80 nucleotides in length. Their secondary structure includes four short double-helical elements and three loops (D, anti-codon, and T loops). Lineage: Eukaryota; Metazoa; Chordata; Mammalia; Artiodactyla; Camelidae. RNAcentral also lists the same sequence under 3 other names. The record is from Rfam by way of RNAcentral.